GUCCGAGUUGUAAUCUAGAGAAGCAUUUUCCGUGCUGAACCGUGUACAAGUCUCCUGGAAAGGAGCAUCAUAGAGGGUGAGAAUCCCGUCUUUGACACGGACCACCAGUACUAUGUGAUGUGCUCUCAACGAGUCGAGUUGUUUGGGAAUGCAGCUCAAAUAGGGUGGUAAAUUCCAUCUAAAGCUAAAUACAGGCGAGAGACCGAUAGCGAACAAGUACCGUGAGGGAAAGAUGAAAAGAACUUUGGAAAGAGAGUUAAACAGUAUGUGAAAUUGCUGAAAGGGAAACGCUUGAGGUCAGUCAUGUCCUCUAGGGAUCAACCUUGCUUUCAAGCUCGGCGCAUUUCCUAGUGGACGGGUCAGCAUCAGUUUGGGCCACUGUACAAUGAUCUAGGGAAUGUGGCACUCUUUAGAGUGUGUUUAUAGCCUUGGAUCAUAUGCAGUGACAAUGACUGAGGCACUCGGCAUGAUCCUCCCUUCUAGGGAUUUCGUGUCUAGGAUGCUGGCAUAAUGGCCUUAAGCGACCCGUCUUGAAACACGGACCAAGGAGUCUAACAUGCCUGCAAGUGUUUGGGUGGAAAACUCAAGCGCACAAUGAAAGUGAAUGUUGAGACCUCUGUCAUGGAGGGCAUCAACGCCCAGACCUGAGUCUUUGACAAUGGAUCUGCGGUAGAGCAUGCAUGUUGGGACCCGAAAGAUGGUGAACUAUGCCUGAAUAGGGUGAAGCCAGAGGAAACUCUGGUGGAGG
This 748-nucleotide ribosomal RNA is filed under the name unidentified. RNAcentral describes it as "Boletus subglabripes partial large subunit ribosomal RNA". It matches the Rfam family "Eukaryotic large subunit ribosomal RNA", at positions 136 to 873 of the family's 3401-position model. The record is from RNAcentral.